RNAcentral lists this ribosomal RNA (263 nucleotides) under Polymixia nobilis. RNAcentral describes it as "partial 28S ribosomal RNA". It matches the Rfam family "Eukaryotic large subunit ribosomal RNA", at positions 3115 to 3369 of the family's 3401-position model. Lineage: Eukaryota; Metazoa; Chordata; Actinopteri; Polymixiiformes; Polymixiidae. The record is from RNAcentral.
UAUGACUGAACGCCUCUAAGUCAGAAUCCCGCCUAGAUGUGAUGAUAUCGCUGCGCUCGGGCUUUUCGGUUGGACUCGGAUAGCCGGCUUCGGUCGGUGGGUAGUGCCGUUCGUGACAGGGCUGGGGUGCGGCUGAAUGAUGGUCGCCCCUCUCCUACCUCGCAUCGCAUGUUUGUGAACAACUGGGUGUUAAAUCACUUGUAAACGACCUGAUUCUGGGUCAGGGUUUCGUACGUAGCAGAGCAGCUUCAUGACUGCGAUCU